GCCGGGGUCUCCUAGCCUGGUAGGGAGCAGGCCUGCUAAGUCUGUGUCCAUUGGGUCGCGAGGGUUCAAAUCCCUCUCCCGGCGCCA
This 87-nucleotide transfer RNA is filed under the name Candidatus Thorarchaeota archaeon. Its description in RNAcentral is "tRNA-Ser". It matches the Rfam family "tRNA". Rfam says of the family: Transfer RNA (tRNA) molecules are approximately 80 nucleotides in length. Their secondary structure includes four short double-helical elements and three loops (D, anti-codon, and T loops). Further hydrogen bonds mediate the characteristic L-shaped molecular structure. tRNAs have two regions of fundamental functional importance: the anti-codon, which is responsible for specific mRNA codon recognition, and the 3' end, to which the tRNAs corresponding amino acid is attached (by aminoacyl-tRNA synthetases). tRNAs cope with the degeneracy of the genetic code in two manners: having more than one tRNA (with a specific anti-codon) for a particular amino acid; and 'wobble' base-pairing, i.e. permitting non-standard base-pairing at the 3rd anti-codon position. The record is from RNAcentral. Lineage: Archaea; Promethearchaeati; Candidatus Thorarchaeota. RNAcentral also lists the same sequence under 1 other name.